Molecule: non-coding RNA, 103 nt
Filed under: Brevibacillus sp.
Lineage: Bacteria; Bacillati; Bacillota; Bacilli; Caryophanales; Paenibacillaceae
Description: Guanine sequence
Rfam family: Purine riboswitch aptamer
About the family: Riboswitches are metabolite binding domains within certain messenger RNAs that serve as precision sensors for their corresponding targets. Allosteric rearrangement of mRNA structure is mediated by ligand binding, and this results in modulation of gene expression. A class of riboswitches that selectively recognises guanine and becomes saturated at concentrations as low as 5 nM.
Source: RNAcentral
AACAGGUAAUAUAGGAAGGUUCGUAUAUUCUUGAGGAUAUGGCUCAAGAGUCUCUACGAGGUCGCCAUUAAACGACCUGGCUACGAACAAAAUGUCGACGGGA